RNAcentral lists this long non-coding RNA (1166 nucleotides) under Mytilus galloprovincialis (Mediterranean mussel). Lineage: Eukaryota; Metazoa; Mollusca; Bivalvia; Mytilida; Mytilidae. The record is from RNAcentral.
UUUGGUGUAUUUUUAAUGAUAUAUAUGAGUAGUCCAAAUAAUUAUUACGUCUGGCAAGGCUUUUUAAAUUUUAUUCUGGGACACCUUCCUAUGACCACAAGGCUUAUGUUAAUUUUUUUCUGGGACGCCUUCUUAGGAAGCCUUCCUACGAACGUCUUAGGAAGGCGUCCCAGAAAAAAAUAAAAUAGCCUUAUUGGAUAUUUUUAUGCAUUAUUUAACCAGUUAAGUCUCUUACAGGAUUGUUUGUUUAAUGCUGUUUAAACAUUACUGAAAAAAAAACACCUUAAAUUUGCUAAUUAUUUGGCAUGAAAGUUUGAUUUAUUGAAAGGGACUCAUAGUUUUUCAUUUAAUUUUAAUAAUUGUCUAAUGGUUAAAACAAUAGCUUCGUUGUUUACUUUUAUACACAACAACAUAUUCACUUUGGUCUCGUUGUUUACCUAAUAUUCACUAUGUACUUGGUAACAGUUAUUAAUUAAUUGAAUAGAAAAUAUUAUAAUAAAUAUUAUUGGAAGCCGAAUUGACGUCAAAUAGGUGCCGAUUUGACUAGAUGCCAAUUUAACCAGGUUCCGACUUGACUUGUACGUUUCAAUUCCUCUGCGAUCGUUUGCGGUAUUUUCUUGAGAAAGCCUAUUUUCCAUCAUCAAAGAGAAGAAGAAACUGCUUGAAAUGAUUCCCGAACGCUUCGUGAUUGUUAAAAUAAGUUUAAUUCACUCAAAAAACAAUUUUAAAACUUGCGAUGGCCACAGACCACAAUUAAUUCCUCUAUCAGUUCUUUAUAACGUUUUGUAUCAUUAAAAAAAUUACACCAUGCACUUUUGUCAAAUUUUUUGUGUGUGUAAUGUAUAGCCCUAGUCCAAAUAUAUAUCCAAAAUUCAGAAAGAUUGUAGCAAUCACUUUUACAAAUUUAGCCAAUACACAUCCAUACCUCUAUUGACAAGUCAAGAGAUGUUCCGAAAACUGUAAAUAUGACCUUUUUGCACUUGGCCUAAUCACUCAUUCCAUAUCAAAAUCAGUUUAAAUACAACAUCCAAAAAUUUAUUUCACCUCUCUUCUUUCAUUUCCACCCAAAAAAAUCUAAGAAAUGAGUGAGGAAGGGAAAGAAAAAAAAUUAAGGAAAAAUACACUCUAAUUAAAAGGAACUAUAUUCGUGGACAACGAAAAGCGGG